Daphnia pulicaria is the source of this 814-nucleotide long non-coding RNA. RefSeq lists it as uncharacterized. The transcript has 3 exons. The record is from RefSeq and is a predicted model, not a curated record. Lineage: Eukaryota; Metazoa; Arthropoda; Branchiopoda; Diplostraca; Daphniidae.
CAGAUUUGUUUGUGGAAGACAGAACAGAACUUUCAAUAGUCUCAGUGGCCAUUGCUUAGGAUGUUCUAGUAUCCGUCCCACUUGAAGGGACAAAAAAGGAUGAAGAGCAUCACGGAUCAUGUAAUACCAGAAGUUACCUGGACAAAGUAUCAAUACAGGAGGCUUAGAGUCUUUGGUGACUGGAAUCAGGCAAAAGAAAUGGAUCAACGUGCAGCUGAAAAUGAAUCUCACGGCUUGAAGACAACUCAUGAAACAAGGAAGAAGAGGUUGGCGAGAAAACCUGUAAUAUAACUUCCCAGUUCUUUUCUCCUUGGAAAUAGCAAAAGAACACAUUCUUCAUCAUACAACGAGAAUUCAAGAGCCAUUAAUCCAAUUUCUCCAGUGAUUUUGAAACAAAAAAGAUCAUCUAAUAACUUAGAAAAUGAACUACAACAACAAAUAAACCACAGAACCCAGUUUACUUGACUCCUCUCCUUUUUCCAAUGGCGACGAAGAAUCCAUUGCUCUUCAUCACCCAUUUACAGAGUAUCAUCCCACUCAGCGUGUAUAGAUGACAUCUUAGGCGAGAACAGUCUUUUUCAUUCACAUAAAAGUAGCAUUUACAGUAAACUAAAUUUGUUUGUAAUAUGUAAAUCAAUCGACAACGACAGGUUACUUGUCAUUAUAAACAUGUUGAAUUCCCCUUCGUCAACAAAGUAAUUGUUAUCUCAAUACGCAACUGUUGUGUUCAAUUCUGACUUGUUGUUAUCUUGUAUGUCAUUUGUUAACUAAUAUGUCAUGUGUUCUAAUGGACAAUAUAAUCAAGUUAAGUGCA